GACGAACGCUGGCGGCGUGCUUAACACAUGCAAGUCGAACGGAAAGGCCCUGCUUUUCUGGUGUGCUCGAGUUGCGAACGGGUGAGUAACACGUGAGUAACCUGCCCUUGACUUUGGGAUCACUGCAGGAAACUGGGGCUAAUACCGGAUAUUAGCUCCUGCUGCAUGGUGGGGGUUGGAAAGUUUCGGCGGUUGGGGAUGGACUCGCGGCUUAUCAGCUUGUUGGUGGGGUAGUGGCUUACCAAGGCUUUGACGGGUAGCCGGCCUGAGAGGGUGACCGGCCACAUUGGGACUGAGAUACGGCGCAGACUCCUACGGGAGGCAGCAGUGGGGAAUAGUGGACUAUGGGCGGAAGCCUGAUGCAGCAACGCCGCGUGCGGGAUGACGGCCUUCGGGUUGUAAACCGCUUUCGCCUGUGACGAAGCGUGAGUGACGGUAAUGGGUAAAGAAGCACCGGCUAACUACGUG
This 468-nucleotide ribosomal RNA is filed under the name uncultured bacterium. Its description in RNAcentral is "partial 16S ribosomal RNA". It matches the Rfam family "Bacterial small subunit ribosomal RNA", at positions 28 to 507 of the family's 1533-position model. The record is from RNAcentral.